CAGGCCGGAACCGUUGUCGCACACGAGGGCGGUGGUCUCAUCGUCGUCACACAUGGCUGCGGGUUCUGGAGGAGGGAAGUCAGAGGUGGAGGUUGUGCUGCUCUGCUGGAGGCUCAAACAACAACAUCCACACAGCAGCUGAGUGACGUCCACCCUCCGGUUUCUAAAACAAGAGGGUCGGGACCUCCAGCACACCGGACAGCUGCAGAAUUCCUCUGAGACAAAAACUGAGCCAACAGACUCAUCUGUGUUUGUCCAACUGCUAACUGAAGCUCCACUGAGGCGACGCUGAGAGUCCUCUGCAGACGCUGUAGCUGUGAAAGUGGAUCAUCACGGAGGAUCCCUGUCAGGGUGGCAGUCAGCCAACCAAGGAGUCCAAAUCUAUUAAUAACCAACAUCUGCCCUUCGUCACCACACAGGAGGAAGUCCUGACUAAUGCAGGCCAGCUUCUGGUAAUCGGUAUCUUUACAGGCUCAGGUUUCUGCCACUUUCUAGGUCUGAUAACUGCGAUAUCAGACGGCAGUAAAGAGAAUUUAAACCAAGUUCCUGCAGAGAAAUAUUAAAGAUACUCUACAGGCUAUUAUACUACUAUUUAUAUUUUUAUUAAAAAUAAUUAUCUACUUAGAAAUUGUUAAAAUUUCUUAAUAUGUACUCAUCCUGCCUCAUCUAUAUAUCUAAAUACUUCUUAAAUAGUGGAGUUGUCUGACUUCACCAUUUCUAAGACUCUGGCUUUGGUGCUUUGUGGAUUUCAUUUAAAACAAAAUUAUGUGACUGGCAUCUUGUAUUAUACCAGUAACAGAAAUAUGCUGGAUGAAAGAUGUGCAUUUCCAUUUCUCCUAUAAAUAAUGGAUUUUUAAAAUAUAUAUUGAUAAUCUCUUA
Thunnus maccoyii (southern bluefin tuna) is the source of this 879-nucleotide long non-coding RNA. RefSeq lists it as uncharacterized. The record is from RefSeq and is a predicted model, not a curated record. NCBI's taxonomy places the organism in Eukaryota, Metazoa, Chordata, Actinopteri, Scombriformes, Scombridae. The transcript is spliced from 3 exons.